Triticum dicoccoides is the source of this 716-nucleotide long non-coding RNA. RefSeq lists it as uncharacterized. Lineage: Eukaryota; Viridiplantae; Streptophyta; Magnoliopsida; Poales; Poaceae. The transcript has 3 exons. The record is from RefSeq and is a predicted model, not a curated record.
AGCAUCCACCGCCGCCACCGCUCCCAAGCAUCCACCACCACCACCGCCGCCGCCCCCAACCAACCAUCCACUGCCCACCUCCUCCUCCUCCUCCCAACCAUCCACCACCCUCCACUUGACCGCAAGCCACUGCUGACCACUGCCGUCGUCGCCUAGAGCUACAUCUCGGAAUCGUGCGUUUCCUCCCCGAGCACGGGUCCACCUCCUCCACAAGCCCUCGAAGCAGAAGAUCACCGCUUUGGCCCUCCUCUCCAGCGGGAACCUCUGGCUGCUGAGCAUCAACAUCGCUAGCUGUUGUACUGGUUUUGAACAAUUUCUGCGCCUCCUAAUACUGCUUACCUGAAGGUGAUAUUUGUAAUUUGUUUGGGCUUAGUGUCACCUAUUGUCGGCCUCCUCUACAUCCUCUCCAAGUGCCACCUCCUCUACUUCUUUGCCCCAACUGAGAGAAUUUGACAUGUUGGAGAUGUCCCCGAAGACUGGUUAAGAUACCUUGCUGUAACCAUAUGCUCCGAGCUCAAGUAGAAGACUUACAAGCUUUACUCUUUCUGCUACUUCCAUUCUGUACAACUUGGACGUCUUGAAACUGCAUUUGCUAAAUUAUGAUGCAAUUCUUUAUGUGUAAUCUAUGAAUAGCAUACAUUGUAACGAUUUAAAUGCUUGACUAUGAGAAAUUCUAAUAUAAAUGUGAAGUACACAUGCAAUUUCCUUCUACCUUA